CCUACGUGCUGCAGCAGUGGGGAAUAUUGCACAAUGGGGGAAACCCUGAUGCAGCGACGCCGCGUGAGUGAAGAAGUAAUUCGUUAUGUAAAGCUCUAGCAGCAGGGAAGAAAAUGACGGUACCUGAGUAAGAAGCCCCGGCUAACGACGUGCCAGCAGCCGCGGUAAUACGUAGGGGGCAAGCGUUAUCCGGAUUGACUGGGUGUAAAGGGAGCGUAGACGGCAGGGCAAGUCUGGGUGAAAGGCGGGGGCCCAACCCCCGGAAUGCUCUGGGAAAUGUAUGGCUGGAGUGCAGGAGAGGUAAGUGGAAUUCCUGGUGUAGCGGUGAAAUGCGUAGAUAUUAGGAGGAACACCAGUGGCGAAGGCGGCUUACUGGACUGUAACUGACGUUGAGGCUCGAAAGCGUGGGGAGCAAACAGGAUUAGAUACCCGUGUAGUC
Molecule: ribosomal RNA, 439 nt
Filed under: uncultured bacterium
Lineage: Bacteria
Description: partial 16S ribosomal RNA
Rfam family: Bacterial small subunit ribosomal RNA
Source: RNAcentral